Molecule: ribosomal RNA, 468 nt
Filed under: uncultured bacterium
Lineage: Bacteria
Description: partial 16S ribosomal RNA
Rfam family: Bacterial small subunit ribosomal RNA
Source: RNAcentral
GACGAACGCUGGCGGCGUGCUUAACACAUGCAAGUCGAACGGAAAGGCCCUGCUUUUUUGGUGUGCUCGAGUGGCGAACGGGUGAGUAACACGUGAGUAACCUGCCCUUGUCUUUGGUAUAACUUCAGGAAACUGGGGCUAAUCCCGUAUAGCAGCUCCUGCUCCGUUGUGAGGAUUGGAACGUUUCGGCGGUUGGGGAUGGACUCGCGGCUUAUCAGCUUGUUGGUGGGGUAGUGGCUGACCAAGGCUUUGACGGGUAGCCGGCCUGAGAGGGUGACCGGCCACAAUGGGACUGAGAUACGGCCCAGACGCCUACGGGAGGCAGCAGUGGGGAAUAUGGCACAAUGGGCGGAAGCCUGAUGCAGAAACGCCGCGUGCGGGAUGACGGCCUUCGGGGUGUAAACCGCUUUCGCCUGUGACGAAGCGGGAGUGACGGUAAUGGGUAAAGAAGCACCGGCUAACUACGUG